GACGAACGCUGGCGGCAUGCCUAAUACAUGCAAGUCGAGCGAACAGAUGAAGUGCUUGCACUUCUGACGUUAGCGGCGAACGGGCGAGUAACACGUAAGGAAUCUACCUAUAAGCGGGGGAUAACAUUCGGAAACGGGUGCUAAUACCGCAUAAUAUCUUCUUCCGCAUGGAAGAAGAUUGAAAGACGGCUCUGCUGUCACUUAUAGAUGACCUUGCGGUGCAUUAGUUAGUUGGUGGGGUAAUGGCCUACCAAGACGAUGAUGCAUAGCAGACCUGAGAGGGUGAUCGGCCACAUUGGGACUGAGACACGGCCCAAACUCCUACGGGAGGCAGCAGUAGGGAAUCUUCCGCAAUGGGCGAAAGCCUGACGGAGCAAUGCCGCGUGAGUGAAGAAGGCCUUCGGGUCGUAAAACUCUGUUAUAAGAGAAGAACAAAUUGUAGAGUAACUGCUACAGUCUUGACGGUAUCUUAUCAGAAAGCCACGGCUAACUACGUGCCAGCAGCCGCAGUAA
This 513-nucleotide ribosomal RNA is filed under the name uncultured bacterium. Its description in RNAcentral is "partial 16S ribosomal RNA". It matches the Rfam family "Bacterial small subunit ribosomal RNA", at positions 28 to 523 of the family's 1533-position model. The record is from RNAcentral.